Molecule: long non-coding RNA, 3500 nt
Filed under: Mus musculus (house mouse)
Lineage: Eukaryota; Metazoa; Chordata; Mammalia; Rodentia; Muridae
Description: long non-coding RNA chr2:158467745-158471245
Source: RNAcentral
AAUUGAAUUUUUUUUUUUUUUUGGCUUUUAAAGGAGUUGGUUUAAUUCAAAGUGGUACAGAAUUCAGAGUACAAUGAAGAUGGAACAGUAGGCUCUAGUGGGAUUCCAGACUGAGUUCACUUUAAAUUCACAGCUGAGGUAGGAAUUGCUGAACACUAGAGACAGUGAGUCAUUGCAUUAUUUACUUUAUUCAUUUUUUUUUACAAAAGUUUAUUACAAUGUUCAACAGGCUUCAGGAUAACAUUUCAUUCUAGCUAUUACAUGGCAAAGAUGUUAUGACAGGGAAUCCAGAUGUUUAACAGGUUACAGGAUAACACUUCAUUCUAGCUGUAGGUGGCAAAGAUGCUAUGGCAGGGAAUCCAGAUGUUAAAAUAGGAAUGGAAGAGGAGGGUCACCAUCACCCCAGAUGUGAGGAACAGCUUGCUUUUUGCCAGAUUUCUUAAUUCCACCUGUGGCCAGGGGGCCCUUCCCGGCGGCCUUGGCUUUUAGCUCCUCUAGUUUCUUCUGUUUCUCCUUUUGUUUCUGCUUGAAAGCCUUAUCUUCCUCGUCCAUCUCCUUGGCCCGCUUCUUGGGCUGUUUCAGGGGCUUCUUUUUGCCACCUUCCCGGCUCGACAUGGCGCCUCCAGCCCCUUCACCAGCCCCUGAUCCUAUCCUUCCUCUUUACCCUACUCCCCUUUCGCUUCUCUGAGAAGGGGGAUGAACCCCUGGGGUAGCAUCCCCACCCUGCCACAACAAGUUACUGCAGAACUUGGCGCAUCCUCUUUCACCAGACAAGGUGACCUCAGUUAGGGGAAUGAGAUCCACAGGCAGGCAACAGAUUUGGGAUUUAAACUCAGGACCUUCGGAAGAGCAGUCAGUGCUGUUAACCACUGAGCCAUCUCACCAGCCCAAGAGAAUAUAUUUUAUACUGUAGAAAUUAGUUUGCGAUGUGGAAUGUAAACAUAAAACCUCUUAAAAUGGGAAAGGAAAGAACCUGAUAUGGUAGUGUACACCUUUAAUCCUAGUGCUUGAGGACCUCUGCUCUAGCUGUGGGUCUCUGCUGGAUGGAGCCUCUCAGAGGACAGUUAUGCUAGAUUCCUGUCUGCAAUCAUAAUAGAGUAUCAUUGAUACUGUCAGGGAUUGGUUCAUGUCGAUGGGAUGGGCUUUAAGUCAGGCUGGUCAUUGGUUGGCCUUUCCUUCAGUCUCUGCUCCAUCUUCAUCCCUGCACUUCUUGUAGGUGGGAUGAAUUUUGGGUCAAAGGUUUUGUGGGUGGGUUGGUGUCCUUAUUUUUCUACUGGGGGUCCUGUCUAGCUACAGGAAGUAGCCACUUCAGAUUCUAAAUCCCCCACUGCUAGGAGUCUCAACUACAGUCACCCCAUAGACUCCCCCAGAAGCCUCCUCUAUCUCGUGUCUCUGGCAUAUCCUAGAGGUAUGUUUGUGCCCCCACCCCUAGCUGUUGAUUUCCAUUUGUUCUCCCUGUCCUCUCUUCUCAUCUCUCCCCAAACCUGACCUGGUCCCCACCCUCACCCCAUUCCUCUCCCUAACCCCUCUUCUACCCAGGUCCCUCCCUUUAUCUGCCUCAGAUGACUGUUUUAUUUCCCCUUCUGAGUGAGAUUCAAGCAUCCUCACUUGGGCUUCCUUGUUGGGUCUGUGGAUUGUAGCGUGGGUAUCCUAUACUUUAUGACUAAUACCCACUUAUAAGUGAGUACACAUGUCAUGCAUGUCCGCUUGGGUCUGGGUUACCUCACUCAGGAUGAUACUUUCUAUUUCCAUCUGUUUGCCUGGAAAUUUCGUGGUGUCCCUGUUUUUAAUACCUGAGUAGUAUUCCAUUGUGUAAAUGAACCCAUUUUCUUUAUCCAUUCUGUAGUUGAAGGGUAUCUGGGCUGUUUCUAGUUUCUGGCUAUCAUAAAUAAAGCUGCUAUGAACAUAGUGAAGCAUUUGUAUUUGUGGCAUGGUGGGGCAUCUUUUGGGUAUAUGCUUGGAAGUUCCCAGGAGUAGUCUUGUUCCUCAAAGUGUAGCUUUUCGAUUCAUGUUAAUACUUUAGAAUAUUUAAGGAUUUAAGAAAUAAUGAUCAUUUAAAAAAUUUUCUACCGGAGUAGGAAAAAGUUAGCAAAGUUACCAAGUUUAUUUUUGUGAAUUUUAGCAUAUUUCUAGUAAUUUAAACAAGAUAUUACAUACUUUAAAAGGAACUAUAAACCAAUUUUAUGAAUAUAUGUAUAAAAAUAUUAAAUACUAACUGAAUUCUGAAUCUAAAGCAUGUUAAGUGGAUUCUCUUUUGCAACUUAGUAUGAUUUAUCAAAGAAUGUAAGGAGAGUUGAUUAUUGGAAAAUAUUAGUAAAAAUACUAAGAAAAUAAUUUGACUCCAUCAAACAAUAAAGGAAAUCAAGAUUUUAUAGAACGGUACUGGUCUGACCUUAAGAAUAUCCUUGAGUUUAGGACACAUACUAUGAAUCUGUACCUCAAAGGCCUUUGAAGUGCUGCCUCCCCUCCCCCAGCAAGUUAGAGAUACCUUUUGCUCUAACUUGUCAAAUAACAAUGAGAACAUUUAGACACUGAGUUCUUUUUUUUUUUUAACUUUUACCCUUAAAUAAUUAUAGAUUAAUAAACUGUUCUAAAAUAAUGUUGAGGAAGAUUUCCCAUGGUGACACCUUACAUUACAAGGAAAAUGAAGAAAAAUGAACUGCAUAAGAGAUUUCACUGGGAAAGAGACAGUUUGAAGAGAAACUGACUUCUUAAUUAGGCAACCAUCAAUAAAAUAUUUAAGAUAAAUGACUUAAGGUAAUGACUAUUUGUAAGAUCCAGCUAAAAGUAUGAUGUGGACUGUUGAUGUCUUAGCCAGAGACAUACUUCUGUAAAGGCCUGCCUGCGCAAACAGAUUUUGAGCCCUGGGUGUCACUAGAGUUGAGGUAGGGGUAGUAGAGCACUCUGACUUUACCAUAGGCUCAUGCAUACACUUUGCAAAUUAAAAAAAGUAAAAGUUCAAAACUGCAGUGUGAAGUUAGGUGUGGUGGUGUGACUUUAACCCUAGAAUUCUGGAGACAGGCAGGCAGGUCUCUGUGAAUUUGUUUUCAGCUUGGUCUACAUAGUUGAGUUCUAGCCUAACCACGGCUAUAUAAUGAGAUCCUGUCUCAAAAAUAAGCAAACAGUACAUAUACACACACAACUCAAUGAGUGUGAAAAUACUCUAGCUGCAGCUGAAAUAGUAACAAAUUUUAUUUACUCUAAAAAAAUUUGUGCAAGAGCUAUAGGAAGAAACAAAGGAAAAUCACAAGUAUGUGAACACUCUUCUCACAUGGUAUCUACAGCAAUACUCAUAGUUCUUCAUCCACAAUUUCAAAGUAAAAGUGGAAAACUGGGAGGUCUGACUAUAUUUCAGGAAAAUUCAUUGAGUUGCAAAAAUCUGAGUAUACCUUUCCUCCCAGCACUUGGGAAGCCAAGAUAAGUGGAUCUCUAAGUUCAAGGCCAGCCUGUUCUACAGAGAGAGUUCCAGACCAAACGAAGAUCUAUAAUAAGUCUCCAUC